GCAUUCGCGUGCAAUAUCACGGAUGCUCGAUGAAAGCGGGAUACUGAUAUACCUGUUUUUAGCGCACGGCCGUUUGCUUAGUCAUGUCGCGUAGUUUAAUUGCGGUAACAUCCGCCGUUUGCUAGCGGUAAAUGCAUGCGUGUGGCGCCGCUAAGCUCGACGACACGAGCUUGAUUCCCGGCCAUGGCGGCCGCAUUUCGACAGGGGCGAAAUGCAAGAACACCCUUGUUGCCGUGUGCUUUGAUUUUUGUUCACGUUAAAGAACCCCCGGAGGGUAAAAUUAUUCCCGAGACUCCCCAGUACAGCGUGCCUCAUAAUGAUUUCGUGCUUUUGGCAUGGUUUUGGCACUUAGAACCACCGCCGAAUUAAUUUGAUUGCACUGUGCAUUCCCUCGCGAUCGGCAUGGACGGGCUCAAGAGAAUCAUUUCCCUUUUCCAAACGCUGCAACUUAAAUUACUAGUUGUGCAGGUAAGGAAAGGGGCCGCGCGCUACUUUUCUGUGGUAACAGACCGUAUUUAAUGCAAUCUGCGGUCGUCGCGUGCGUCGGAAAGCGGCAGAUCGGAAAGCAGCCGCUCGAUACGUGGGCGUUAUGCGUGUUGUUUGGCCAGGCUUUCUAAGUUCACAAUAUCCAAGCAUACUUUAAGUGCUGAUGGCAGUCCCUGGGAGCCAUCAAAAAGCAGGCGAAUUUGCAGCACCCAUUUCAUUGGCAACUGCAAGAGUGACCUAACAUCUUCGCACCUGUAUACAGAAAGAAAGCACUAGAUCGACAGAGUGUGAAAAGAUGGUAGCGGCGCCUAACAGACCAAUGGCAAUCACAGCAGUCUUCUCAGCAGUCAGCACCACCGGGACAUGUGCUUUCGUACUGCAGCGACACAGCUCUUGAGCAGCAGCAAGACACAUGUGAAACAGGCUUCAAAACAUGCCUUUCUGAAGUGACGGAACUGUCAACAAGCAGCCCAAUGGAUCUGCAGUCAUCGAGUAGUAUGACAACAGAAGUCCUUGUUGCCAGAGUGACUUAUGUUGUAAUUGAAAUAAAAGUGGCUAAAUUUCUCAA
Molecule: non-coding RNA, 1054 nt
Organism: Dermacentor andersoni
Lineage: Eukaryota; Metazoa; Arthropoda; Arachnida; Ixodida; Ixodidae
Source: RefSeq, a predicted model, not a curated record